This 429-nucleotide ribosomal RNA is filed under the name Chloroflexota bacterium. RNAcentral's name for it is "Chloroflexi bacterium partial 16S ribosomal RNA". It matches the Rfam family "Bacterial small subunit ribosomal RNA", at positions 355 to 776 of the family's 1533-position model. Lineage: Bacteria; Bacillati; Chloroflexota. The record is from RNAcentral. RNAcentral also lists the same sequence under 1 other name.
UAGGGAAUCUUCGGCAAUGGACGAAAGUCUGACCGAGCAACGCCGCGUGAGUGAAGAAGGUUUUCGGAUCGUAAAACUCUGUUGUUAGAGAAGAACAAGGACGUUAGUAACUGAACGUCCCCUGACGGUAUCUAACCAGAAAGCCACGGCUAACUACGUGCCAGCAGCCGCGGUAAUACGUAGGUGGCAAGCGUUGUCCGGAUUUAUUGGGCGUAAAGCGAGCGCAGGCGGUUUCUUAAGUCUGAUGUGAAAGCCCCCGGCUCAACCGGGGAGGGUCAUUGGAAACUGGGAGACUUGAGUGCAGAAGAGGAGAGUGGAAUUCCAUGUGUAGCGGUGAAAUGCGUAAAUAUAUGGAGGAACACCAGUGGCGAAGGCGGCUCUCUGGUCUGUAACUGACGCUGAGGCUCGAAAGCGUGGGGAGCAAACAGG